CAGCAGCCACGGUAAUACGAAGGGGGCUAGCGUUGUUCGGAUUUACUGGGCGUAAAGCGCACGUAGGCGGACUUUUAAGUCAGGGGUGAAAUCCCGGGGCUCAACCCCGGAACUGCCUUUGAUACUGGAAGUCUUGUGUAUGGUAGAGGUGAGUGGAAUUCCGAGUGUAGAGGUGAAAUUCGUAGAUAUUCGGAGGAACACCAGUGGCGAAGGCGGCUCACUGGACCAUUACUGACGCUGAGGUGCGAAAGCGUGGGGAGCAAACAGGAUUAGAUACCCGCGUAGUCCCUGUCUCUUAUAC
RNAcentral lists this ribosomal RNA (301 nucleotides) under uncultured bacterium. RNAcentral's name for it is "partial 16S ribosomal RNA". It matches the Rfam family "Bacterial small subunit ribosomal RNA", at positions 509 to 807 of the family's 1533-position model. The record is from RNAcentral.